Molecule: RNA transcript, 3994 nt
Organism: Helianthus annuus (common sunflower)
Lineage: Eukaryota; Viridiplantae; Streptophyta; Magnoliopsida; Asterales; Asteraceae
Gene name: GDP-mannose transporter GONST3
Exons: 13
Source: RefSeq, a predicted model, not a curated record
CAGAUUAUAGCAAUGAUGUUGUGUAGUUUAAGAUUAUAGCAAUGAUGUUGUGUACUUUAGGAUUUUAACUGAUUAAAAGUCUUGAUUGUACUCUGUUUUUUCAUCAUCACAACAGCAUACAAGUUGUUAUCAUCGUGUUUUCUUUUCUGGGGUUUUUUUAAAUUUUAUUAAAAGAAGGGGUAGGGGAUGUACACAUAUGUAUAAAAAGGUUUGUUUAUUCAGCAUCUGGCUUUUGUUGUUUUUUGGGGGGUUUUUGGUGAAUGAUAUUGAUAUUCUAUAGGUGUACACAUCUGUAUAACUGAUUUGUUCACAUGUUUAUUUCAGUGAUAGUUUAUAUUUUUUUAUUUUAACAAUGUUCAACAAUAUUCUUAUGGUUAGCUUUUAUGUGUUUGUGUAUACAGGUCUUUGAAUGUAUUUUGUUUUUUCAGUUGUUAUUUCAAACAUCCAAAUGAGAACCAGUAAGUCUGUAACAAGUCAGAUAUGAUUACAGGAACCCAUUAAUUAAUUUAAUUUUGUAGGAAGGAAAAGUGAAAGGAUAUCACGUAAAGCGGCCUCUAGGUUUAAAAAUUCAAUGGAUGACCCUAUUCAGUUGUUUUCUGACAGUGAAGGAAUGAACAAAAUAGGUUUUGAGAUGGCACAUGAAAAAACAGAUGGUAAGGUCUCAUUUAGUGAUGGAGCGACACUGUAUGUUGAUCUCGACAUUAACCAGAAAAGAGUUGAAGACGCAAUAAUCAGUAAAGGUGUUGGUGGGGAUAAUAAGCAUGGUGGAAAGAAUGAAAGACAGCUAACGGGAAACUUAUGAGUAGAAAAGGGAAACCAUUGAAUUAGCAAGACAAAGUCAGUCAAUGCGGCGCGUGUUCCGUUUUCUGAUAACUUGGAAGGUUAUGUCGGCAAUACGGAAAGUGAAUAUGAAAGGUUGAAGAAAACUACUUCUAAACGGGAUGUUGUUUGUGAAAAAAAGCCAAAAACUUGUGUCUAAGAGAAGUGUGGAGAAGAGCCAAAGCUAGAGUGCUGUUCUGCCCAAAAGCAGACGAGAAAAAGAUGAUAAAGGAGUGGCAGAAAGUAGUGGGGAGAAGGGCCCGAAUACGAGUACUGGUCAACCUAUUUAGAGUCCAGAAAAAGAUUAGAAAAGAGAUUUCGAGGAAGAUUGUAACACGAACGCAAUCGAUGAAGUAUUCAAGUCCAAGAAACAAAAGCCAAGAAAGUCCCCUACAAAGUCCUUAAAAAAGAAAAGGCGAAAUCUAAUAAGCGUAAAAAAGCCAAAAACUUGUGUCUAAGAGAAGUGGGGAGAAGAGCCAAAGCUCGACUGCUGUUCAACCAAAUAGUAGGCGAGAAAAAGAUGAUAAGGGAGGUAUUAUUUGACUAAAAUUGUUAUUGUUUUUAUUAGUGUACUCUGAUGGUGUGUUAUAAAACGUAUAAAUGAGAUCACAAGUUACGUUGCAUAAAAUUAUUAUUAUUUGUUAUGUUAAUCUAUUGUAGUGGUAGAAAGUAGUGGGGAGAAGGGCCCGAAUACGAGUACCGGUCAACUUAUUAAUAGUCCAGAAAAAGCUGAGAAAGGAGAUUUCGAGGAAGAUUGUAACAUGAACGCAAUAGAUGAAGUAUUCAAGUUCAAGAAAUGAAAACCCAAAAAGUCCCCAAAAAAAGAAAAGGCGAAAUCUAAUAAACGUGCUAGGGCUGGUGUCAAUGAUGAGUUACCAGGCAUUAGGACUCGUACGUCGCCUAAUAAACUGUUAGAAGUUGUUUCUAUGAUGAAGACUUGGCAACGGAAUGUAGUGAGGAGAAUGGGUUUUGGUAAAGUAUUAAAUUUGAAGCACAUCGUGUCCAGGUUUUGACGAUGAGCGUACGGAAUCUCCCGUAAGAUUUUGGACCCAUGAUAUGAUAAGCUUGAGGAAAGACCAAGAGAUAAAAAAUGGUGGUUUCGGGCUGGAGAUAUACGAGAGUUGUACGCGGAUGAUUUCGAUUACGAUAUUUUAAGUGAUGAUCAGGUUGUCGAUUUGUCGAAGAGAGAUGAUGAAACCGUACCUGUUUAUUUUGAUGGGUUUUCAAUAGAGGAUUGCGUAUCUAGCGUUCUUGAGUUGUGCGACGAGGCUGAGUCUUUAAAAUGUAACUUGGAUGGGGCGAUAGACCAACUUGCAACACGUUAUCCUAAUACCAAAGUGAUAUUGCCUAUAUUUGAACGCUACAAAGUUAUUUUCAACAAAUGUGAUGUUUUUGAGAAGUGCGCGUCUAAAGGUUUAAAAAGUGGGGUUGGUCAGAAUAAAUGUAAAUUCUUAUAUCGUAUACAAAAAUGUAUUUUAACAUAAACUCGAUUUAAUUUGUUCGAUAAUUAAAAAAACUGUGUAGAUGAGAAUGUGAAUGCAGUAAGAAGAGUGGUGACGAUGUUAACAACGAGGGAGAUUUAUUUUCAACACCACAUGUGACAUCAACUUUUACGUAAAAUGCUAUGACAUACUCGGACGUUAUUCUGGAUGUAGUAUCAGGUGCUUAUGAUACACAAAAGACGGAUGAUACACCUUCAAUCUAGGACUUUCACAGGAUCUUCUGAGUACGUAGGAGUUAGAGUAGCGGAAAAAAACACCCAAAAUAAAAUGUGGAAGAUGUUGCUGAAGUUGGAGGUAAAGGAAAAAGGCAAAAAAAGAUAUCAAAAUAUGGAAAAUCUCCGUUUUUUAUAAGGGUCGUAAACAUUUACACUGUGUUCCAGAGUUUUAUUUUCAAGAGAAGAGAAGGGAUUUGGAAGGAAAGAAAAGAGUUAUGGUGUUCCAGAGGGUUUUUUUUUUGUUUUUUUUUAUGGGGAGAAAGAAAGAGAGGAGAGAAAAAGAAGGUUUUUUGGAGUUCAAUUGUUUCUCUCCAAAUCGGAAAGAUUGGGAGAGAAAAGAAUAAUGUAAGUUCACAUUCUAUUUUCAGUUCCAAUUUUACCCUCGUCAAAAAAUGGCGGGUAUAUCUCCCACAACCCGCCAUAUCUUCAACCCACCUUCCAUCAUCUCUCCCAGAAUCUCGUAUCUUCAGUUUUCAUCACCAUAUUUCCCAUAUCUUGAUUCAACUUGAUAAAGGCUGUUCAUCAUCGUUGCUACUACUAUCCAACAACGAUUAGCAAUUCAUCUUCCAGAUCUUUGCAGUUCUUGAUACUUCCCUUUUUCUUUAUAUGCAUAAUUUCAUGGGCUGUCUUCUUUCUCCAAUUCUGGAAGCGGAAAAACUCUACCCUUUUGGCCAGGUGGCAUCAAUGGCGGACCCAGGAUUUUAUUUCAAUGGGGUCCAUUUUCGGGUCGGUCCUUGUUCGGGUCGAGUUAAAGUGAGGUUUGAACUAGAUUUUUUAAAAAAAUAAGAAAAAUGGGGUUAUCAAGGAUUGAACCCAUGACCUCUUGGUGGAAAAGAGGAAGAUUUACCACCACACCAGCUUUCUUUUUAUUUCUAUGGUGUCCGCCUAAUUGUAUUUAUGGGGUCCAUAUACAAUUUAAUCUACCGAAUCUACUAUUUUUUUUUAAAAGAUUGGGGUCCGGGGACCCCGGUGGCACCAAUGUGGGUCCGCCCCUGGGUGGCAUAUUUGUUAUUCAGUUGGAGCAGAGUCUGCUUACAAAUAUAUGGAUACAGAAUGGAGUUCGUUCCAUUCGUCUAUAGGAUUAAUAAAGUUCGGGGCUUAUAAAACCGAGAAAGAGAAGUUCCAACGAGAGGAAUGGUUCGGUCAUAUGCUACGAUUCAGAAACGAUGCGAUUAUCAUAUCGAGUAUCAUAUGCCUCCAGCUUCCUUUUGAACUGGCGUAUGCACAUUUGAGCAAGAUCAUUGGAUCCGAUAUCAUAAAGUAAGCAUGUGAUUUUUUUUAAUGCUACUGGAAAUCAAUUUGGUUAAGAUUUAAGAUUUUUAUUUCAGGUUUGGGUUAACGGCAAUUUACCUAUUUGCCAUAUAAUAUUUUUGUAUCAUCUGAAUGAAUUUGUAUAAAUUUUAAUUGUAUCAUCUGAAUGAAUUUGUAAUGUAGAGCCAUCGAAUGAACUAGUAAUUA